Molecule: ribosomal RNA, 253 nt
Filed under: uncultured bacterium
Lineage: Bacteria
Description: partial 16S ribosomal RNA
Rfam family: Bacterial small subunit ribosomal RNA
Source: RNAcentral
UACGUAGGGGGCAAGCGUUGUUCGGAAUUAUUGGGCGUAAAGGGUGCGUAGGCGGUUUGGUAAGUCUGAUGUGAAAUCUAUGGGCUCAACUCAUAGUCUGCAUCGGAAACUGCCGGGCUUGAGUAUGGGAGAGGUGAGUGGAAUUCCUGGUGUAGCGGUGAAAUGCGUAGAUAUCAGGAGGAACACCUGUGGCGAAAGCGGCUCACUGGACCAUAACUGACGCUGAUGCACGAAAGCUAGGGGAGCAAACAGG